RNAcentral lists this long non-coding RNA (679 nucleotides) under Capra hircus (goat). RNAcentral's name for it is "lncRNA (ENSCHIG00000005287.1)". The record is from RNAcentral. Lineage: Eukaryota; Metazoa; Chordata; Mammalia; Artiodactyla; Bovidae.
AUGAUCUCCACGUCGCGAGGCCGACUGGGAAGGCCCGCAGUUCUCCCCUCGCUCUGCAGCCGCCCCAGAACAGACACCGCUGUCCCCGAGCCCUCUGGGAAGUGGAGUCCUUCCGCCGGGACCCCCGACCCGGCGCGGUCGCCUCCAAGUGCGCAGAUGCGACUCCAGACAGAGCCUCGGGCUCGAGCCUUUUGUCUCCCCGCAGCUCGGUGGGUCCAGAAGGCGACGGUGUCCGCCUCCCCCGCCCCUCCCAGAGCGCAGCCCGGAGGGGAUCCAGCCCUGGAGCCGGAGCCAGGUCGGCCACGAGUCCGUAGUGAAUUAGGAGGAAGUCCUAGCAAUAACAAGAGGACAAGGAGAAGCUGAUCAUGGAUUAUCUGACCAUUGAAGUUGAGGAAAAUGCUAUGACUAUAGAAGAUGUUUCUUUGUCCCAAGAACAGAGCGCAGAAGAAAUGGAACCUACUGGAGAGCUUCUUCCUGUUGAGUUCCAGGCAAGUUUGAGUUUCAUUUCCCUCCUGUGAAAUCUCAGUUUGGUGUUCAGAGUGUGUCCUCAUUUCUUCCUUUCGUCUCACUUCGGAGGUUCAUGGAAAUCUCAUCUGGAGAGCUGAACCAAAGUAAUUUUUCCUUGAAGACUUGAAGCUCUAGGAGGAGCUCAGGCUGGAGUUUAAAUUUGGGAGGAACC